GUCUACGGCCACGCCACCCUCAACAAGCCUGAUCCCGUCUGAUCUCGGAAGCUAAGCAGGGUCGGGCCUGUAUAGCACUUGGAUGGGAGACCAUCUAGGAAGACCAGGAGCUGUAAGAA
RNAcentral lists this ribosomal RNA (119 nucleotides) under Pteropus alecto (black flying fox). Lineage: Eukaryota; Metazoa; Chordata; Mammalia; Chiroptera; Pteropodidae. The record is from RNAcentral.